GUCAAACUUGACACAAUCGAUUGUCAGACGGUAUUAAUUCAAAAAAUUCUUACCAUUCUGCUAUGCUGACCCCUUUUAAUCGAUUGUCAGUUUCCUUUUCAGAAUUCCAACGAGCAUAUCUGCUCAACAAUCGAUUGUCUCCAGCAAACAAUCGAUUGUCUCCAGUGGUCUUCUUAAAAUCUGACCGUUUUUGAGUCUUCAAUUCAGCCAUGAAUACCAUAUCUUCUCC
Molecule: long non-coding RNA, 229 nt
Filed under: Nicotiana benthamiana
Lineage: Eukaryota; Viridiplantae; Streptophyta; Magnoliopsida; Solanales; Solanaceae
Description: long non-coding RNA (NBEN_LNC000851)
Source: RNAcentral